CUCCAUCCUAUCCACAGUCCUGUAGGUCUCCAUCCUACUCCACAGUCCUGUAGGUCUCCAUCUUACUCCACAGUCCUGUAGGUCUUCAUCCUACUCCACAGUCCUGUAGGUCUCCAUAUUACUCCACAGUCCUGUAGGUCUCCAUCCUACUCCACAGUCCUGUAUGUCUCCCACUUUUAAAACACAGGAUGUGGUGUCUUUAUACCUUUUAUAAUGUGAACUAAACAGGAUGAUGGCUGAUCCAUACCCCUUCAGGAGUGAGCUCAGUUCAUAUUUAUCUAUAAACAUUCAGGUUGGACUGUUCUACUCUGCGACUGGCACCUUCUUUCAUCUCUGAAGCUUGUUCUAUAGCCUGUCAUAGUAGAGAGAUUUAACUGUACAGGUAAAAAUGGACAAAACACUCAUUGGUGGAUCCAAUUGCAGAUGUACAGAAAGAUGGCAGGUCUACAGUUUGCUGUCAUUCAAGCCAUGCCCCCACCACAGUACAAUGGUAAGAUGGCAGGUCUACAGUUUGCUGUCAUUCAAGCCAUGCCCCCAUCACAGUACAAUGGUAAGAUGGCAGGUCUACAGUUUGCUGUCAUUCAACCCAUGCCCCCACCACAGUACAAUGGUAAGAUGGCAGCAUCAAUAGUGCUUAAUGCAGGUCAAAUGUAGACUCCAUCUUUGUGCACAUCCACAAUAAGUAAGCUUCCUACAGCAGAUAAGUUUCAGUCAACUGUGACUGUUUCACUUGAAUCUUAUAAUUACUUCUAUCUACGACGGAAAAUGUCCCCAAUAUAAAAUGACAGAAAUUCAACCGAACAUUUCAACAAAAUCAACACGACGAUCAAAACCCUUUCACUAUAUUUCAGAGUAUGGUAAAUACAGGAAACAUCUAUUUCAGAGCAGGAGGGGCAUCUCUCUCAUUUGCAUUUGAACUCCACCCACUCGGGCCCAACAGACAAUGAGGAAUGUGUCUGAGCCAGCGGGCACAAGCACUGUCUUAAAUGGCUAUUAAGUGAUGUCACAAAUACCUUACAGCUUUUCUUUUUUGUGACACUAGUUUUUAUUGUAACUUUGUAUUCCUUUUUAUCCAAUAAUUUUUGAAAAUCUGCAAAAAUUAUUAUGCCUUUUAUACUCUACAGGAAAAAGUCUUAAGAUAAAAUAAAUAAAACAAAACAGCAGACAGACUUUUAAAUGAAUUAGAUGUCAUAUUCACAUGG
Molecule: non-coding RNA, 1202 nt
Organism: Salvelinus sp. IW2-2015
Lineage: Eukaryota; Metazoa; Chordata; Actinopteri; Salmoniformes; Salmonidae
Source: RefSeq, a predicted model, not a curated record